RNAcentral lists this ribosomal RNA (497 nucleotides) under uncultured bacterium. Its description in RNAcentral is "partial 16S ribosomal RNA". It matches the Rfam family "Bacterial small subunit ribosomal RNA", at positions 28 to 507 of the family's 1533-position model. The record is from RNAcentral.
GAUGAACGCUGGCGGCGUGCCUAAUACAUGCAAGUCGAGCGAACAGACGAGGAGCUUGCUCCUCUGACGUUAGCGGCGGACGGGUGAGUAACACGUGGAUAACCUACCUAUAAGACUGGGAUAACUGCGGGAAACCGGAGCUAAUACCGGAUAAUAUAUUGAACCGCAUGGUUCAAUAGUGAAAGACGGUUUUGCUGUCACUUAUAGAUUGAUCCGCGCCGCAUUAGCUAGUUGGUAAGGUAACGGCUUACCAAGGCGACGAUGCGUAGCCGACCUGAGAGGGUGAUCGGCCACACUGGAACUGAGACACGGUCCAGACUCCUACGGGAGGCAGCAGUAGGGAAUCUUCCGCAAUGGGCGAAAGCCUGACGGAGCAACGCCGCGUGAGUGAUGAAGGUCUUCGGAUCGUAAAACUCUGUUAUUAGGGAAGAACAAAUGUGUAAGUAACUAUGCACGUCUUGACGGUACCUAAUCAGAAAGCCACGGCUAACUACGUG